AGCGAACGUUUGCGGCGGGCUUAACACAUGCAAGUCGAACGGGCUGUUCCUUCGGGGGCAGUCAGUGGCGCACGGGUGCGUAACACGUAGGUAAUCAACCCUCUGGUUGGGGAUAACACUUCGAAAGGAGUGCUAAUACCCGGUAUGGCGCAGCGGUCUUCGGAUCGCGGCGAGAAAGACCCGCAAGGGUUGCCAGAGGACGAGCCUGCGGCCCAUCAGCUAGUUGGCGAGGUAACGGCUCACCAAGGCGAAGACGGGUAGCUGGUCUGAGAGGAUGAUCAGCCACACUGGAACUGAGACACGGUCCAGACUCCUACGGGAGGCAGCAGUGGGGAAUAUUGCGCAAUGGGCGAAAGCCUGACGCAGCCACGCCGCGUGAGCGAUGAUGGCCU
RNAcentral lists this ribosomal RNA (392 nucleotides) under uncultured bacterium. RNAcentral describes it as "bacterial SSU rRNA". It matches the Rfam family "Bacterial small subunit ribosomal RNA", at positions 29 to 417 of the family's 1533-position model. The record is from RNAcentral.